Molecule: long non-coding RNA, 1512 nt
Filed under: Zonotrichia albicollis (white-throated sparrow)
Lineage: Eukaryota; Metazoa; Chordata; Aves; Passeriformes; Passerellidae
Description: lncRNA (ENSZALG00000004271.1)
Source: RNAcentral
AUGCUCUAUGUGACAGACCCAGUGCCACCCAUGCCAUGUGUGACAGAUCAGUGCCACUCUGCUCUGUGUGACAGAUCAGUGCCACCCAUGCCCUGUGCGACAGAUCCAGUGCCACCCUGCGCUGUCACAGGGCACUGCCACCCUGCUCACCCGGUCAGCAGUGACAGCAGUGACAGCAGUGACAGCAGUGGCAGCAGUGACAGCAUCCUGGUGUUUGUUUCUGAGCCCCUGAAAACCUUCAUGCCCAGAGCGGGGCUUGGGAGGAAAAUGCCCCGUGGGGCACCAGGGGCAGCGCAUCCCUGGGUGGGUGAGGGAUCUGCNGAUCCUAUCCCAUCUCAAGGAUCCCAUCCCAUGCCAUUCCAUCCCAUGGGUCCCAUGGAUUCCAUCUCAUCCCAUGGAUCUCAUCCCAUCCAAUCCCAUGAAUCCCAUCCCCUCCCAUCUCAUGGGUCCCAUCCCAUCCCAUGGAUCCCAUCCCAUGAAUCCCAUCCCAUGGAUCCCAUGGAUCCCCUCCCAUGGAUCUCAUCCCAUCCCAUCCCAUGGAUCCUAUCCCAUCUCAAGGAUCCCAUCCCAUCCCAUGGAUCCCAUGGAUCCCAUCCCAUCCUAUCCCAUGAAUCCCAUCCCAUCCCAUCCCAUGGAUCCUAUCCCAUGUCAAGGAUCCCAUCCCAUCCCAUUCCAUCUCAUGGGUCCCAUGGAUUCCAUCCCAUCCCAUCCCAUGAAUCCCAUCCUGUCCUAUCUCAUGGAUCCCAUCCCAUGGAUCUCAUCCCAUCCCAUCCCAUCCCAUCCCAUGGAUCCCAUCCUAUCCCAUCUCAUGGGUCCCGUCCCAUCGCAUCCCAUCCAUCCCAUGGAUCCCAUCCCAUCCCAUAUCAUGGGUCCCAUGGAUCCCACCCCAUCCCAUGGAUUCCAUCCCAUGGAUCCUAUCCCAUCUCAAGGAUCCCAUCCCAUUCCAUCCCAUGGGUCCCAUGGAUUCCAUCUCAUCCCAUGGAUCUCAUCCCAUCCCAUCCCAUGAAUCCCAUCCCGUCCCAUCUCAUGGGUCCCAUCCCAUCCCAUGGAUCCCAUCCCAUGGAUCCCAUCCCAUGGAUCCCAUCCCAUCCCAUGGAUCCCAUCCCAUCUCAAGGAUCCCAUCCCAUCCCAUUCCAUCUCAUGGGUCCCUUGGAUCCCAUCCCAUCCCAUGGAUCCCAUCCCAUCCCAUGGAUCCCAUCCCAUGGAUCCCAUGCCAUCCCAUGGAUCCCAUCCCAUGGAUCCCAUCCCAUCCUAUCCCAUGAAUCCCAUCCCAUCCCAUGGAUCUCAUCCCAUCUCAAGGAUCCCAUCCCAUCCCAUUCCAUCUCAUGGGUCCCAUGGAUUCCAUCCCAUCCCAUGGAUCCCAUUAUUACAGUGACCUUAGACGGUCACUGUGGUGAGAGAAGGACGAGAAUCUUGUUCCUUGAUCAGAAGGCUGGAUUUAUUGAUAUAAGAUACAUAAUACAUUAUAACUAUACUAAAAAGAAUAAAAAGAGAGCUUGCAGAGACUGCUAA